Beta vulgaris subsp. vulgaris (sugar beet) is the source of this 2648-nucleotide RNA transcript. It is a transcript of the gene named putative SWI/SNF-related matrix-associated actin-dependent regulator of chromatin subfamily A member 3-like 1, with no coding region annotated. NCBI's taxonomy places the organism in Eukaryota, Viridiplantae, Streptophyta, Magnoliopsida, Caryophyllales, Amaranthaceae. The transcript has 6 exons. The record is from RefSeq and is a predicted model, not a curated record.
CCAUAACUUCCUACCUUAUCUGGUCAGCCCAUAACUCCCUCCUCUCUCAAACCCUAUAUCGUCUUCCCUCUCUCAUCUGUAAAAGUGUGAAUAGAAUAACAACCAUGGAUGGGAACUCAAAGGUCGUCGAAGUCCGGCCUCCCUGGUUACUCCAUCGACGAAUCCUUGACUCCAAUCUCCCAAAAUACAGUUAGUUGAUUCCUUGCUCUUAUUCAAAUGAAUCACAAAUUCUUACUCUAUUCACACUUUUACAGACUGUUUACUUGUUUUUUAUUGCUUUUAAAUUUUUAUGGUGUUUUUGUCGAUUUUCUCAUAAUCUAGGGUUCCCUUAUCCUGUCGCAUUGCACGUGAAUCCUCCUCUUCAUCGAUCUAAUUAAUCCAAGUCGUUCAUCCUUAUUGUACCUAGCUCUCUAGGUUUCUCUAGGUGAGUUAUAUGCUAUCAUUACAAGCUAAUUUUCCAAGUGAUAUCGGUGGGCAGGCUAGGAACCCACUACAAACAUAUUAGUGCUGCUGUAGAGAAAGUAAAAGGAUAAGUGAGUUUGACAUGGCCCCAUCAACUAUAAUGAUUGCUGCGGCUCCUACCAUUGGAGCAUUGGUGGAGUGUUGAUCCGGGUUGGUGGAUCAAGUAGAGGAAUCACAUCUGGGGUACUUUAUCCGGGUUAUUCAAACUUUGUGGAAUUCACGCUACAAAGAUAUCAUGUCUAAUAACAACAACAAACUCCGGUUUCAACACUUGUCCUUUUCUGGAAAAGGACAGAUUGAAUGGUGAAAAUUUCCUUAAUUGGGAAAGGACCUUAAGACUCGUCCUGAGGUUUGAGGGUCGAGAAGACAUCUUAGAUACCCCCACUUCCUGUUGUAACUGAUGAAUCAACUGAGGCAGAAAAACGUUGUGCCAAACAGGCUAGUGAUAAGUCUAUACCAAUCACUUUCUUGAUGGUAGCAGCCAUGGAGCCGAACCUCAAAAAGAGGUUCAAAACCAAGGAUGCUUACACGAUCAUGCAAGAGUCGCAAGCCAUGUUUAAAACUCAGGCCCGAGUUAAGCGGUAUGAGACCAAUAGGGAGAUACUUGAAUGUCACUUGAAGCCGGGUUAAGUUGUUGGCCCCUAUGUCCUCGAAAUGAUGGGUCUUUUUGAAAACAUGGAACGACUUGCAUUCCAUUAUAUGGUUGAGUUGGCUAGUGACAUUAUUCUCCACUCACUGUCUGACAGUUUCAAUUAGUUCAGAAUUACCUACAAUAUGAAUGAGUCUGAAAAGACUUUGCAAGAGCUGCGUGGAUUGUUGGUCAAUGCUGUAAGGAACAUCCCUAUGGUUGAACCAAAGAAAGAGGUUCUAAUGGUUCAAAAGGGAAAGGGUUCAAAAAAAAUGGGCAGGAAAGAAGGACAAAGGCAAGCAAGUUGCCUCUGUUGCUGAAAAACCUAAGCCAACCGCCAAGCCAAAGGUCGCUGCAGAAAGCAAGUGCUUCCACUGUCACAAGAUAGGACAUUGGAAGAGGAACUGCUCGAUAUACUUGGAGGAAAAGAAGUCUAGGGUUUCAACUUCAGGGACUAAACAGAAGUAGAAAGCUGGCAAAAGGCGAGGUAGAGCUACGCGUUGGAAAUGGAGUACGAGUUGCUGCACCUUGCCAUAGGGAGCUAUAGUCCACACUUGCAUCUGGGCUUAUUUUAGAAUUAAAUAAUUGUUAUUUUGUUCCUGCAAUAACUAAGAACAUAAUUUCAGUUUUAGUUUUGGAUUCUGAAUGGUUUUGUUUUGAAAUAAAGUACAAGUGUUGUUCCAUUUCUUACAAUAAUAUGUUCUAUGCCAAAGCUAAAUUGAUGGCUUAUAUGUGCUUAAUAAGUCAUUACCAGUCUAUAACAUAGAUAGCAAGAAACAAAAAUCAAAUGAUUCCAACCUAACCUACAUUUGGCAUUGUCGAAUGGGUCUCGACUUGAUGUUGCAUGUCUUGAGCAUGUGUAGCAGGUUCCAAGCAAAUACAGGAGAAGCACACUGGACUGCAGCUAAGAGCAUCCUUAAGUACUUAAGGAGGACUAUAGGCAUGUUCUUAGUAUAUGGUGGAUAAAGUGAGUUGGUUGUUGAAGGUUACACGGAUGCAAGCUUCCAAACCGGCUGAGAUGAUUACCGCUCUCCGUCAGGGUAUGUCUUUCGUCUAAAUGGAGGAGCAGUGAGCUGGAAGAGCUCAAAGCAAAGCAUUGUAGCAGACUCUAUGACAAAAUCAGAAUAUUUAGCAGCACUUGAAGGUUGAAGCAGCUAAGGAAGCAGUUUGCAUAAAGAAGUUCUUGACAGAGCUAGAUAUUGUACCUAGCGCUCUGGAAGGAACUGAGUUGUUUUGUGACAACAAUAGUGCUAUUGCGCAAGCAAAAGAACCAAGGUCACAUAACAAGUCCAAACAUGUGAUGAGGAAAUUUCACCUUAUUCGAGAGAUAGUUGACAGGAAGGAUGUCAAAAUAUGCAAAGUUCAUACGGAUGAGAACGUGGUUGAUCCGCUAACUAAACCACUACCUCAACCCAAGCAUGAGUGUCACGCUAGUGCUAUAGGCUUGAAGCAAAUGUUAGAGUGGCUUUAGAUUGUACUAGGUUUAAAGAAACUUGUUACAAUGUAAAGACAUGGUUUUGCUAUUUAUGUUUAUGAGAAUAAAUUUUAUCUUAUUUAA